Molecule: long non-coding RNA, 371 nt
Organism: Leucoraja erinaceus (little skate)
Lineage: Eukaryota; Metazoa; Chordata; Chondrichthyes; Rajiformes; Rajidae
Exons: 2
Source: RefSeq, a predicted model, not a curated record
GUAUGUGUACACAAGUCUACACAUGUGUACAGUAGAAGCCCUUUAUCGAUACGCCGCUGCGUUUUUCACCCUCUCACACCAUCUCAACACAUCACGACUUUUGAAGUGAACUCAGCCGCUUUAAUGCAGGGAACGGGACUUGAUCUUUCAGUUGCAGCGGAUUCACUUGGCACCGAAUGAACGGUACACCCACUUCUUCGAGUAGUUCUCCCCUCCGAUCAGCUUUGAUGUGAAAUGUCCAGCGUGGAAGCAAGAUCCGGGGCAGGGAGAAACGUCUCCAUCAACGUUAUCCCACUUGGGUUUUCUCAAAUCAAAAUAAGUUGUAAAUUCACAAAUUAAACAUUGGGUUUGGUUUACCGAUUUUUACACAA